CUGCUCAAUGAAUAUAAAUAUUCAUUUAUAUUAUUUAAAUAGCCGCAAUUCUGUGCUAAGGUAGCAUAAUCAUUUGCUUUUUAAUUAAAAGCUAGAAUGAAAGGUUAAACAUUUAAAUUUCUUUAUUAAAACCAAAUUUAUAAUUUAUACUAAAUAUAAAAAUAUAUUUUUUAAAAAAAAAGACGACAAGACCCUAUUAAACUUAACUUAAUGUUUAACUGGGGCAGUUAAUUAAUAAAAAUUUUAAAUUAUAAUAUAUAAAUAAAUUUCUAAUAAUAUUAAAUUUAACAAGUUACUAUAGGGAUAACAGCGUUAUAUUUUUUAAAAGUUCAUAUUUAAAAAAAUGAUUGCGACCUCGAUGUUGAAUUAUAUUUCUUUAUUAACGCAAUAGU
RNAcentral lists this ribosomal RNA (392 nucleotides) under Anelosimus sp. 2 YL-2019. RNAcentral's name for it is "partial 16S ribosomal RNA". Lineage: Eukaryota; Metazoa; Arthropoda; Arachnida; Araneae; Theridiidae. The record is from RNAcentral.